Molecule: long non-coding RNA, 740 nt
Filed under: Anas platyrhynchos platyrhynchos (common mallard)
Lineage: Eukaryota; Metazoa; Chordata; Aves; Anseriformes; Anatidae
Description: lncRNA (ENSAPLG00000029477.1)
Source: RNAcentral
AUGUGCAGAAAGCACCCUAGAGAGAUGCAACACAGCAGAAAUGGAACCGCUGCGAUUGCAAAAGUUGAUCACCCAUUGCAGAGCACAUCUAACAUAGCAGCAAACAUAUCUUUUGGAAACAGCCCAAUGAUCCCUCUGCCAAAUCCAGGCUUUGAGUGUUUGCCCAAGUAAGAAAGAAGCAGAUGCAGUGUAAUUGGGAACUCUGACACCUUGUUGAAACGUGAGGACAGCUGGACACAAAGAAAACUUUUUCUAGGCUUGAUGGUGAGCACUGUGUGUCCAGACAGGCUUUGGAGAAAAUCGUAACAAAUGCCAGGUGAGCUGAUGCUAACUACUCAAGGGUGCAUGUUUGGAGGGUGCUGUUUGCAUCUUGUUGCUCUGAUACAAACAUUAGCAAAACAGAGAACGGUGUGGGGAAAUCUGAAAAAUGGCCCUCUUACUGUUGUGUGAAUUUGUUGGCAGCUAACGAGGAUUUCACUUCCCCACCCCCCCCCAAAAAAAAAAAUGGGGGGGGGGGGGGAAUCCCAAAUCCUGCAGUAAGCAGAGCCACGUUGCUGGUGGGAGGUUUGAUGACACCUGGUGGCAAACGGGGAUAAUGCGGCAGGGAGGACACAUGGGUGACAUGGGGGUCACUGACACUAAAGGAAAACGAGGUCCAGGGGGAGUAUAAUAUGAGCUGGAGCCUGACAGCAAGAAGUAGAAAAUAAUAUGUUGUGAAUGGGGUAGAGAAGCUUAACGAC